CAGCGCCACGAGUGGCAAUCGUAUAUUUGGCCUAAAGCGUCCGUAGCCGGUUUGGCAAAUCUUCUGUGAAACUGUACAGCUCAACUGUACAACGUGCAGAAGACACUACCAAGCUUGGAACCGGGAGGGGUACAGAGUAUUCCAGGGGAAGCGGUAAAAUGCUACAAUCCCUGGAGGACUACCUAUGGCGAAGGCACUGUACCAGAACGGAUUCGACGGUGAGGGACGAAAGCCAGGGGAGCGAUCCGGAUUAGAGACCCGAGUAGUCC
Molecule: ribosomal RNA, 269 nt
Filed under: uncultured archaeon
Lineage: Archaea
Description: partial 16S ribosomal RNA
Rfam family: Archaeal small subunit ribosomal RNA
Source: RNAcentral